GAUGAACGCUGGCGGCGUGCCUAAUACAUGCAAGUCGAACGCUGAAGCUUGGUGCUUGUACCGAGCGGAUGUGUCGCGCACGGGUGAGUCACGCGUAGGUCACCUGCUUGGCAGUGGGGGAACACUAUUGGAAACGAUCGAUAAUACCGCAUGACCUCCGUUUUCGUGUGAUAACUGUUUAAAUGGCGCAAUUGCUCCAUUACCAGACGGCCUUGCGUUGUAUUAGUUAGUUGGUGAGGUAACGGCGCACCAAGGCGGCGAUACCUAGCCAACCUGACCGGGGGAGCGGCCACACUGGGACGGAGACACGGCCCAGACUGCUACGGGAGGCAGCAGGAGGGAAUCUUCGGCGAUGGACGGAAGACUGACCGAGCAACGCCGCGUGAGUGAAGAAGGAUUUCGGAUCGUAAAGCUCUGUUGUAAGAGAAGAACGAGUGUGAGAGUGGAAAGUUCACACUGUGACGGUAUCUUACCAGAAAGGGACGGCUAACUACGUG
Molecule: ribosomal RNA, 497 nt
Filed under: uncultured bacterium
Lineage: Bacteria
Description: partial 16S ribosomal RNA
Rfam family: Bacterial small subunit ribosomal RNA
Source: RNAcentral